AGCUUUGUGCAGUGGCAGUAUUGUAGCGAGUGAGGUUUAUUCAAGGCACAAUUAUUGCUAAUUGAAAACUUUUCCCAACACCCCUCUAUGAUGACUUGCAAUAUAGUCAGCACUAAUUUGACAGUCUCUACAGAGA
Molecule: small nuclear RNA, 136 nt
Organism: Otolemur garnettii (small-eared galago)
Lineage: Eukaryota; Metazoa; Chordata; Mammalia; Primates; Galagidae
Gene: U4
Rfam family: U4 spliceosomal RNA
About the family: U4 small nuclear RNA (U4 snRNA) is a component of the major U2-dependent spliceosome. The structure of U4 snRNA from yeast and human has been reported. U4 snRNA presents a k-turn RNA motif in the 5p-SL related to recognition of Snu13 protein.
Source: Ensembl